CAAUCUUGUUCUGGUGUGACACAUCAAGAGUGCUGCCCAUCACAUAAAGAGAAAGCAUUUUAACAAAACUGAACCUUCAGAAGAGAGCCAACGUGGAGAUUCAGGAACCACCCUGUAAGAGCACAGAAGUCAUGAACAGAGGUUUGGCCCUUUAACAUUAGACUUCAGACCACAGCAGGACUCUCAAGGUGCUUGAACAGCAACAGAAAUAAUGACAAGAGCAAUGACUGCAACAUUACCAGUAGUACAGCAGGAAGAGGAAGUUGGGCAGUGAUAUGGCCAGCUGGAUCCCUUGCCAGGUGGGAAUCACGUAUGCAA
Molecule: long non-coding RNA, 318 nt
Organism: Melopsittacus undulatus (budgerigar)
Lineage: Eukaryota; Metazoa; Chordata; Aves; Psittaciformes; Psittaculidae
Exons: 3
Source: RefSeq, a predicted model, not a curated record